RNAcentral lists this unclassified non-coding RNA (240 nucleotides) under Auriculariales sp. RNAcentral describes it as "partial contains 5.8S ribosomal RNA, internal transcribed spacer 2, and large subunit ribosomal RNA". The stretch from base 1 to 52 matches the Rfam family "5.8S ribosomal RNA", at positions 103 to 154 of the family's 154-position model. The record is from RNAcentral. Lineage: Eukaryota; Fungi; Basidiomycota; Agaricomycetes; Auriculariales.
AACGCACAUUGCGCCCUUUGGUAUUCCGAAGGGCAUGCCUGUUCGAGCGUCAUUACAACCCUCAAGCUCUGCUUGGUAUUGGGCCUCGCCAGCAAUGGCGUGCCUUAAAAUCAGUGGCGGUGCCGUCUGGCUCUAAGCGUAGUAAUUUCUCUCGCUCUAGAUGUCAUAUGGAUACUUGCCAUCAACCCCCAAUUUUUAAAGGUUGACCUCGGAUCAGGUAGGGAUACCCGCUGAACUUAA